Molecule: long non-coding RNA, 1292 nt
Filed under: Pogona vitticeps (central bearded dragon)
Lineage: Eukaryota; Metazoa; Chordata; Lepidosauria; Squamata; Agamidae
Description: lncRNA (ENSPVIG00000005915.1)
Source: RNAcentral
UGACAAAGUACCAGGGCGUAUCUCAGUCACAUGCCUGAUUCUCUGGCCAGUUGCACAACUGAGGUGUUCAUUGCCACCUCAUCAGUUAGGUGCAAUUGGCUGCAGUAGGCUACACAAACCUUACAUAAAUAUCAAGAGGAUUCUAACCAAUCACUUAGCCAUGAAAACUGACUAGGGGAGUGGAACUGGUAAAGCCAUUCCUUAAAUGUCUCACUUUCUUUGAAAGCGCCAUUAGGGUCACUAGAAAUCGGUUCCAACUUGACAGCACAGAACACACAAAAAGAUUUAUUCGGUAUUUAUUGCGCUCCUAGUCUUUGGAUAUAUUUUUUGCCCAAGAAACAUGUGUCUAGUGCCUAACCAAAAGCUCUUACAUACAUUUCCCAUCUAGGGCAGGAGUAGUCCUCUAGUUCGUGGCAUUAAAUGCAGUGUCCUUUAAGCUCUAGGCAACAUAGCUAGUGAUCAAGUUGGAAGGAAUAAAUGGCCAGCAACAUAUGAAAAACUGCAGAUUCCCUAUUUCUGAUCAUGUCAGUUCUGGAUGUUUUCACUCUCUUCCCCGGCCAGUCAUUUGCCUGGAGCAACAUCGUCCUCUCUUCAAGGAGCAAUCCUUCAGAACUGAUCUCUGCACACAGUACUGGGCCUGUAUUCCUCCAUGGCAGCUGUCCGUAGGCCAUUGUUUGUCCAAAAGGGGAAGAGGCAAAUUAUAAUGUAGAUUCAAUCAGGGUGAUUAUAAUAUCUUGGAAGUGAGGAGGGGGGAUCAUUAGGUGUCUUUAAAGGGAGAAACAAGUGACUAAAGAUUGCAGAAUGGAGUGUCUUGAUGAGGGCGGGGUCGUUCAGCCAAUGUAUGCAUUCAAUAAAAGUUUGGUUGUUUCUAGAAAUACAAUUGAAUGUCUCAAAUGUCACCUUUUUUCCUGCUUUCUAUCAUACAUUAGUGGUCUAACAAGAAAACUAUUAAACAAACAACCAAAAUGUUCUAGAUCAGUGGUCCCCAACCUUAAACAAGUGACUAAAGAUUGCAGAAUGGAGUGUCUUGAUGAGGGCGGGGUCGUUCAGCCAAUGUAUGCAUUCAAUAAAAGUUUGGUUGUUUCCAGAAACCAGAAGCAACAUCUGCAUGUUCUUUCACCUAUUUUGACACACAAAAAGUACCCUGAUAUUUGACAUCAGUCGCCACAACCAUGAUAAUACAAUUGAAUGUCUCAAAGGUCACCUUUUUUUCCUGCUUUCUAUCAUACAGUAGUGGUCUAACAAGAAAACUAUUAAAUAAACAACCAAAAUGUUCUAGAUGAGAAAUGCUC